UGUGUUUACUGUUUGCUUGGACCAUUCUUUUGGUUCAUUCUUAGUUCCCUUAACCGGGGGCUCUGAGUGACCCACGAGUUUACUUUGAAAAAAUUGGAGUGCUUAAAGCAGGGGCUACAGCCUGAACACUAGUGCAUGGAAUAAUGGAAUAGGAUCUCGAUUCUAUUUCGUUGGCUUUCGGAGUCGAGGUAAUGAUUAAUAGGGACAGACGGGGGCAUUCGUACUGCGACGUUAGAGGUGAAAUUCUUGGAUCGUCUCAAGACCAACUACUGCGAAAGCAUUUGCCAAGAAUGUUUUCAUUAAUCAAGAACGAAAGUUAGAGGUUCGAAGGCGAUCAGAUACCGCCCUAGUUCUAACCAUAAACUAUGUCGACCGGCGAUCCGUAGUCGUUAACUUUAAUGACUCGACCGGCAGCCUCCGGGAAACCAGAGUGUUUGGAUUCCAGGGGGAGUAUGGUUGCAAAGCUGAAACUUAAAGGAAUUGACGGAAGGGCACCACCAGGAGUGGAGCCUGCGGCUUAAUUUGACUCAACACGGGAAAUCUCACCAGGCCCGGACACCGGAAGGAAUGACAGAUUGAGAGCUCUUUCUUGAUCCGGUGGGUGGUGGUGCAUGGCCGUUUUUAGUUGGGGGAGCGAUUUGUCUGGUUAAUUUCGAUAACGAACGAGACUCUGGCCUACUAACAAGACAUGUGAUCCUUUAUGGGUUUGAUGUAGUUUCUGAGAGGGACGGGCGG
This 735-nucleotide ribosomal RNA is filed under the name uncultured eukaryote. RNAcentral describes it as "SSU rRNA". It matches the Rfam family "Eukaryotic small subunit ribosomal RNA", at positions 673 to 1426 of the family's 1831-position model. The record is from RNAcentral.